UUGAACGGCUCUCCGGGAGAAUGCACUGCUCACCCCCACCUCGCCCCCCAUACUGGGCGGGACGGCACCCAGGGCACGCUCCACGCCUGUCCCAGGACUGCACGGUCCCCCCACCACCUCCUGAGACUGCCCUUGGAGGCUUGCUCCCCUUCAGCUGUCCCAAUGAGAACAAGCAAGGAAUGGAAGGGAAGGAACCCAGGCCUCCUCUAUCAGCAGGGUCUCUGGACUUCCUAGCUGCAAGGAGAAAAGGCAAGAAGGCCUCCUCUGGAGGGAAAUCUGUGUGUGAAUGGGGAUGCCUAAAAGGAGGCCAAGGAGGAAAAGACGGCGGUGUCCCCCAGUCAUUCUGAAGACCCCGCCUGCCAGCCGGUCACCGGCCCCUUGGUGGCCCACCGUGACACACUAGAAGAGCACCAAGAGGAGGUUACCAGAGACAACAGAAAUCAUGCACAGUUUGGAAACAUGUUCUGUGGCAGAAGGUG
This is a long non-coding RNA of Suricata suricatta (meerkat), 479 nucleotides long. RefSeq lists it as uncharacterized. Lineage: Eukaryota; Metazoa; Chordata; Mammalia; Carnivora; Herpestidae. The transcript is spliced from 4 exons. The record is from RefSeq and is a predicted model, not a curated record.